AUAUAAUCAAUUAAUUGGUUGUUGGACAUGAUAUUUCUGGCUCAGCUGCCAUGAAUAAUAAUUCCACUGGAUAAAGCAAGUGUCUGUCAAUCAAACUGAUUAAUGCUAUCGUCUUGCUCUCAUCACAUUGUACAUUUAAGGCAAAGAAAGGGGUUUUAUUUAUUUAUUUUGUUUUUGAAAGGAUUAGUACGUAGUCAAAUAUAAGUGGAAAAUGUGAUACGCUGGCCCGUUUUGUCAAACAAAGUGGGCAUUAGAUGGUAUAAAGUGGCCAUUUAGAUGGUCAACAAUAAUUUUGUUUGAAGAAGAAUUUAGCAGCAGUAAAUUUGGCAUGCAGAAAAAGAAGAAAGAAGAAAAAGAAGAAAGAAAAAGAUGGAAGAAUAGGAUGCCGCCCAAGAAAAAAAUAAUAAUAAUAAUUUAAUAGCCAAUUUUGGCUAUAAAUAGCGAGGUUUCCUCCUCAUUUUAUUCAUUACAUUUUUUUUAAGUUUCUCUUCUCUGUUUUGUAAAUGAGAAAGAGUUGUGUGAGAGAUUAAGAGUUUUAAUACUCUUGUGUAAUUAGUGAAUGAGAGAUUGGGUGUAUUAGAAUUUUGGAUAGGGAGAUAAAAUAUUGCAAUACUUGUAAUUCUUAUUUCACUAGUAAAAUAUUUUCCUUCUAUCUUUGCUCGUUGACGUAAGCUAAAAGCCGAACCACGUAAUUUUCUAAUGUCAUCUUUUGUGCUUGUUCUUUAUUUUCUUCCAAUUUCAUUUUAGUUGUGGCCCUGUUUCACCCACCAAUUUCCUAACAUGUUUUCCUCUUGUAAAUGAAAUUAUUUGAUUUCAUUUUCCUGCAGUUUAUGUAUGUCCUAGUAGUAUUCUAUUAUAUAUAUGCAUAAUGUAGGAUUGAGUUCUUAAAAACACGAACUUU
Molecule: long non-coding RNA, 901 nt
Filed under: Citrus x clementina
Lineage: Eukaryota; Viridiplantae; Streptophyta; Magnoliopsida; Sapindales; Rutaceae
Description: Citrus clementina (C. clementina) long non-coding RNA (CCLE_LNC003616)
Source: RNAcentral